CCUACGGGAGGCAGCAGUGGGGAAUAUUGGACAAUGGGCGAAAGCCUGAUCCAGCCAUGCCGCGUGUGUGAAGAAGGCCUUCGGGUUGUAAAGCACUUUCAGUGGGGAAGAAAGCCUUGGGGCUAAUACCCUCGAGGAAGGACAUCACCCACAGAAGAAGCACCGGCUAACUCCGUGCCAGCAGCCGCGGUAAUACGGAGGGUGCGAGCGUUAAUCGGAAUUACUGGGCGUAAAGCGCGCGUAGGCGGUCUGAUAAGCCGGUUGUGAAAGCCCCGGGCUCAACCUGGGAACGGCAUCCGGAACUGUCAGGCUAGAGUGCAGGAGAGGAAGGUAGAAUUCCCGGUGUAGCGGUGAAAUGCGUAGAGAUCGGGAGGAAUACCAGUGGCGAAGGCGGCCUUCUGGACUGACACUGACGCUGAGGUGCGAAAGCGUGGGUAGCAAACAGGAUUAGAUACCCGGGUCGUC
Molecule: ribosomal RNA, 465 nt
Filed under: Vreelandella stevensii
Lineage: Bacteria; Pseudomonadati; Pseudomonadota; Gammaproteobacteria; Oceanospirillales; Halomonadaceae
Description: partial 16S ribosomal RNA
Rfam family: Bacterial small subunit ribosomal RNA
Source: RNAcentral